Molecule: ribosomal RNA, 229 nt
Filed under: uncultured bacterium
Lineage: Bacteria
Description: partial 16S ribosomal RNA
Rfam family: Bacterial small subunit ribosomal RNA
Source: RNAcentral
UACGUAGGCGGAAUAUUAAGUCAGUGGUGAAAUCCUGCAGCUUAACUGUAGAAUUGCCACUGAUACUGAUCUUCUUGAAUUUAGUUGAGGUGGGCGGAAUGUGUAAUGUAGCGGUGAAAUGCUUAGAUAUUACACAGAACACCGAUUGCGAAGGCAGCUCACUAAACUAACAUUGACGCUAAGGUACGAAAGCGUGGGGAGCGAACAGGAUUAGAUACCCUGGUAGUCC